RNAcentral lists this ribosomal RNA (465 nucleotides) under uncultured Klebsiella sp. Its description in RNAcentral is "bacterial SSU rRNA". It matches the Rfam family "Bacterial small subunit ribosomal RNA", at positions 338 to 795 of the family's 1533-position model. Lineage: Bacteria; Pseudomonadati; Pseudomonadota; Gammaproteobacteria; Enterobacterales; Enterobacteriaceae. The record is from RNAcentral.
CCUACGGGUGGCUGCAGUGGGGAAUAUUGCACAAUGGGCGCAAGCCUGAUGCAGCCAUGCCGCGUGUGUGAAGAAGGCCUUCGGGUUGGAAAGCACUUUCAGCGGGGAGGAAGGCGGUGAGGUUAAUAACCUCAUCGAUUGACGUUACCCGCAGAAGAAGCACCGGCUAACUCCGUGCCAGCAGCCGCGGUAAUACGGAGGGUGCAAGCGUUAAUCGGAAUUACUGGGCGUAAAGCGCACGCAGGCGGUCUGUCAAGUCGGAUGUGAAAUCCCCGGGCUCAACCUGGGAACUGCAUUCGAAACUGGCAGGCUAAAGUCUUGUAGAGGGGGGUAGAAUUCCAGGUGUAGCGGUGAAAUGCGUAGAGAUCUGGAGGAAUACCGGUGGCGAAGGCGGCCCCCUGGACAAAGACUGACGCUCAGGUGCGAAAGCGUGGGGAGCAAACAGGAUUAGAUACCCCAGUAGUC